RNAcentral lists this transfer RNA (71 nucleotides) under Bos taurus (domestic cattle). It matches the Rfam family "tRNA". From Rfam's summary of the family: Transfer RNA (tRNA) molecules are approximately 80 nucleotides in length. Lineage: Eukaryota; Metazoa; Chordata; Mammalia; Artiodactyla; Bovidae. RNAcentral also lists the same sequence under 4 other names. The record is from Rfam by way of RNAcentral.
UCCCAGGUGGCUCAGUGGUAAAGAAUCUGCCUGUCAAGCAGAAGACAUGGGUUCGAUCCCAGGGUUGGGAA